This 73-nucleotide transfer RNA is filed under the name Candidatus Pacearchaeota archaeon. RNAcentral's name for it is "tRNA-Gln". It matches the Rfam family "tRNA". From Rfam's summary of the family: Transfer RNA (tRNA) molecules are approximately 80 nucleotides in length. Their secondary structure includes four short double-helical elements and three loops (D, anti-codon, and T loops). Further hydrogen bonds mediate the characteristic L-shaped molecular structure. tRNAs have two regions of fundamental functional importance: the anti-codon, which is responsible for specific mRNA codon recognition, and the 3' end, to which the tRNAs corresponding amino acid is attached (by aminoacyl-tRNA synthetases). tRNAs cope with the degeneracy of the genetic code in two manners: having more than one tRNA (with a specific anti-codon) for a particular amino acid; and 'wobble' base-pairing, i.e. permitting non-standard base-pairing at the 3rd anti-codon position. Lineage: Archaea; Nanobdellati. The record is from RNAcentral.
AGCCCUGUGGUGUAGCGGUCAAGCAUUGCGGACUCUGGAUCCGCAGACCCAGGUUCGAAUCCUGGCAGGGCUA